RNAcentral lists this small nuclear RNA (156 nucleotides) under Carlito syrichta (Philippine tarsier). Its description in RNAcentral is "U2 spliceosomal RNA (ENSTSYG00000020752.2)". The stretch from base 1 to 128 matches the Rfam family "U2 spliceosomal RNA". Rfam says of the family: U2 is a small nuclear RNA (snRNA) component of the spliceosome (involved in pre-mRNA splicing). Complementary binding between U2 snRNA (in an area lying towards the 5' end but 3' to hairpin I) and the branchpoint sequence (BPS) of the intron results the bulging out of an unpaired adenosine, on the BPS, which initiates a nucleophilic attack at the intronic 5' splice site, thus starting the first of two transesterification reactions that mediate splicing. Lineage: Eukaryota; Metazoa; Chordata; Mammalia; Primates; Tarsiidae. The record is from RNAcentral.
AUUGCUUCUCAGCCUUUUGGCUAAGAUCAGAUGUGCUAUCUGGUCUUAUUAGUUUAAUAUCUGAUAUGUCCUCUAUCUGAGGACAAUAUAUUAAAUGUAGUUUGGGAGCACAAACAAAGCAACCUUAUAGGAGUACUAUAACGGAGAUAAACUCUC